This 69-nucleotide transfer RNA is filed under the name Ovis aries (sheep). It matches the Rfam family "tRNA". Rfam says of the family: Transfer RNA (tRNA) molecules are approximately 80 nucleotides in length. Their secondary structure includes four short double-helical elements and three loops (D, anti-codon, and T loops). The record is from Rfam by way of RNAcentral. Lineage: Eukaryota; Metazoa; Chordata; Mammalia; Artiodactyla; Bovidae. RNAcentral also lists the same sequence under 1 other name.
CCUGGUAGCUCAGUUGGUAAAGAAUCUGCCUGCAAUGCAGGAGACCCAGGUUCAAUUCCUGGGUCAGGA